This 285-nucleotide unclassified non-coding RNA is filed under the name fungal sp. RNAcentral describes it as "partial internal transcribed spacer region". The stretch from base 1 to 46 matches the Rfam family "Eukaryotic small subunit ribosomal RNA", at positions 1786 to 1831 of the family's 1831-position model. Lineage: Eukaryota; Fungi. The record is from RNAcentral.
AAGUCGUAACAAGGUUUCCGUAGGUGAACCUGCGGAAGGAUCAUUACAAAUCCACGUCUCUCUGAGACACGUUGAAAUGUUGGUGUUGGUUGGGCGCUCGAGGGGUGCUGGCGCUAUAGAUUUGUUAAGGGGAGGGUAGGGUAACCUUGGGUCGCUCUCUCUCUUCCUACAUGCCUUGAUGCCCGGCCUCCUGAGCAGCAGCCCUCCUUCACUCUUUGACAAGUGUUUGAUCAGUUGUAUUUUAAAAGUUUUACACAACUUAUAACAAUGGAUCUCUAGGCUCUU